RNAcentral lists this microRNA precursor (61 nucleotides) under Pristionchus pacificus. RNAcentral describes it as "mir-8364 microRNA precursor family". It matches the Rfam family "mir-8364 microRNA precursor family". The record is from Rfam by way of RNAcentral. Lineage: Eukaryota; Metazoa; Nematoda; Chromadorea; Rhabditida; Neodiplogasteridae.
UCAUCAUUCCACGUGCUCUCUCACCGGUCAGAGAGGCGAGAAAGUGUGCGGAAUGAAGAGA